GGCUCAGUUUUCCAGCAGCCGCAGACACCCAGAGCAAAAAUGAAUUUGUGUAUUUAAUUUAACACAAAGGGUGAAAUGUUUGCUGACACUGAUAACAGCUUAUGUUUUCUCUGCCCUAUGUACCGACAUGAUGGAGAAGGAACAUCCUCUGUGUCAGCUGGACCCUCAGCAGAGAAUGAACUCAACAUCCCUUUUGUCCGGUACUCUAUGUCACACACUGUGCCAAAAAAAAAAACGUGUACAGACGCCACUACCAGGUAAUCCCAUGACUGGGAGCCACACUUUUGUUUCUCUCACACUGUUCAACAACAUGAUAACUGCUCACAA
Molecule: small RNA, 327 nt
Filed under: Astatotilapia latifasciata
Lineage: Eukaryota; Metazoa; Chordata; Actinopteri; Cichliformes; Cichlidae
Description: BncRNA2
Source: RNAcentral